UGAGGUAGGGAAGGAUGGGAAAGAAGGCUUUGUGGAGUUUUUCAGUUCAGAUAUAUAAUUCUGAUGCGUGUACUUUAUUCAAUUAUAAUCAGUUUUCAAUUAUCCUCCUUUGUAAGUAAUGAAUCACCAAUAUUGUUGACUUUGUACUACCCUGGUUACUCCUCAUUUGAUGGGGAGUUUUCAGCAGAUGGUCUAUUUCUAUUUUUCUGAUAAAACAUUUGCUGUGAAAGAAAUUUAAAGUUGAGAAGCCAAAUGAAAAUUUUGAAUUAGCUGUAUACUGAAAUAA
This 286-nucleotide long non-coding RNA is filed under the name Bos taurus (domestic cattle). RNAcentral describes it as "long non-coding RNA NONBTAT019589". The record is from RNAcentral. Lineage: Eukaryota; Metazoa; Chordata; Mammalia; Artiodactyla; Bovidae.